This 490-nucleotide ribosomal RNA is filed under the name uncultured bacterium. RNAcentral describes it as "bacterial SSU rRNA". It matches the Rfam family "Bacterial small subunit ribosomal RNA", at positions 28 to 507 of the family's 1533-position model. The record is from RNAcentral.
GAUGAACGCUAGCUACAGGCUUAACACAUGCAAGUCGCGGGGCAGCAUGUCGGUUGCUUGCAACCGAUGAUGGCGACCGGCGCACGGGUGAGUAACGCGUAUCCAACCUGCCCUUCACCACGGAAUAAUCCAGUGAAAAUUGGUCUAAUACCGUAUGAGGUCAUACGAUGGCAUCAGAAUAUGACGAAAGGUUUAGCGGUGAAGGAUGGGGAUGCGUCUGAUUAGCUUGUUGGUGAGGUAACGGCUCACCAAGGCGACGAUCAGUAGGGGUUCUGAGAGGAAGGUCCCCCACAUUGGAACUGAGACACGGUCCAAACUCCUACGGGAGGCAGCAGUGAGGAAUAUUGGUCAAUGGGCGAGAGCCUGAACCAGCCAAGUAGCGUGCAGGAUGACGGCCCUAUGGGUUGUAAACUGCUUUUAUAAGGGAAUAAAGUGAGCUACGUGUAGCUUUUUGCAUGUACCUUAUGAAUAAGGACCGGCUAAUUCCGUG